AGGGUGCAAGCGUUAAUCGGAAUUACUGGGCGUAAAGCGAGUGUAGGUGGCUCAUUAAGUCACAUGUGAAAUCCCCGGGCUUAACCUGGGAACUGCAUGUGAUACUGGUGGUGCUAGAAUAUGUGAGAGGGAAGUAGAAUUCCAGGUGUAGCGGUGAAAUGCGUAGAGAUCUGGAGGAAUACCGAUGGCGAAGGCAGCUUCCUGGCAUAAUAUUGACACUGAGAUUCGAAAGCGUGGGUAGCAAACAGGAUUAGAUACCCUGGUAGUCCACGCCCUAAACGAUGCGAACUGGAUGUUGGGUUCAACUUGGAACCCAGUAUCGAAGCUAACGCGUUAAGUUCGCCGCCUGGGGAGUACGGUCGCAAGACUGAAACUCAAAGGAAUUGACGGGGGCCCGCACAAGCGGUGGAGUAUGUGGUUUAAUUCGAUGCAACGCGAAGAACCUUACCUGGUCUUGACAUCCACGGAACUUUCCAGAGAUGGAUUGGUGCCUUCGGGAACCGUGAGACAGGUGCUGCAUGGCUGUCGUCAGAUCGUGUCGUGAGAUGUUGGGUUAAGUCCCGCAACGAGCGCAACCCCUACCUUUAGUUGCUAGCAUUGAGUUGAGCACUCUAGAGGGACUGCCUAUGAAAGUAGGAGGAAGGCGGGGAUGACGUCUAGUCAGCAUGGUCUUGACAUCCAAG
RNAcentral lists this ribosomal RNA (683 nucleotides) under uncultured eukaryote. RNAcentral's name for it is "partial Bacterial small subunit ribosomal RNA". It matches the Rfam family "Bacterial small subunit ribosomal RNA", at positions 529 to 1212 of the family's 1533-position model. The record is from RNAcentral.